UUAUUACGGGCGUAGAGUACAGUUUCGUCUAGCCCGUCGCUUCGGCUUUAUCAUUAUCACGUGCGAUAAUAUACGGUAGCGUAGUUAGUACCGGAAAAAGUGAUGAUAAUGGUGUCGUUGCAAGUUUCAGUCAAAGGAUUUCCGGCGUUGAUUAAAUUAUGCCAGGAAUAGUGUUAAUGUUUCAGGAACAACGUUUUCAUAUAUUCAUCAAGCGGAUGGUUUUAGCGCUCAAACGCCUAUGGCUAUCGUUUCUAAUUUCCAUAGGCGAGAACAACGAGGCUUGAAGCUCUUUAGUAACAUAAUCCGUCUUGACGCGGCCUAAUCGUCCCUCUUUACUCGGUAUUCGAGCUUCUUUCGCGAGGCCGGACCUCGUAAUCCGUGACAGAGUUCACGGAAGGGUACCUAAUCGAUCGUGGCACUCGACAACGGCCCCGGGAUCUUGCAAUUUCAUGGGCCGGGCCGAUUUACCUGUUACCGCUGUGAAAUAUCGGGAAACUUCCGGAGGAGAUUACCGGCUGACAAUUUAUUGGCUCGGUGCGGCGUUUUUCGAGACACUGCCCGUUCCCAACCGGUGAUCGACUAAUCGAGACUGGCCUCCCACCGUCGAUAUCGAACCCGGCAAAUUCGAAAUGGGACAGGGAAGUGUUUUUGGAUAAAUCUGAAUUGAAUUGAACGUUUUUCUUUUCCAAAUUGCUUCUGAUUGUAAUCUCACAAAGCAAAUGAAAAUGAAGGCAAAAUAAAUGUACGCGAUUUACUUUAGUAUGAUUAUUUAAAUUUGGAAUGUUCAGACGAAAUUUUAUUGCGCAAAAUGAAUUUUGUCAUAAGAUUGUAUUCUUGUAUCAAAUAGUUUUUCUAAUUGCUUUUAAAUAAAUGUCUCAGAAAGUUUCCAAAGAAACUUUUAAUUAACGAGGUACGAAGUAAUAAACAACUGUACGUCUCGAGCAUAUUUUGUUUAAAUACUGUUAAGAAAGUUACGGUGAGACAAGGCACACGAGUACAGUAUCAACAAGUAAAUACGUAAUGUGACUCGCUUCUACAAGUACGUAGCUUAAUCUAACAGCCGAGAAGUUGUGUAUAGACCAUUCUACGUGUUGAAUUCAAUAUGCUGCUACGUAAAACAUUAUUACAAAUACUGUAUAAGUCCAAUUGUACUUUCCUUGUUUUUGGAAAUAAAAAGAAACAUUUUAAUUGCA
Ceratina calcarata is the source of this 1193-nucleotide long non-coding RNA. RefSeq lists it as uncharacterized. The record is from RefSeq and is a predicted model, not a curated record. The transcript is spliced from 3 exons. Lineage: Eukaryota; Metazoa; Arthropoda; Insecta; Hymenoptera; Apidae.